RNAcentral lists this ribosomal RNA (445 nucleotides) under uncultured bacterium. RNAcentral's name for it is "partial 16S ribosomal RNA". It matches the Rfam family "Bacterial small subunit ribosomal RNA", at positions 354 to 796 of the family's 1533-position model. The record is from RNAcentral.
GUGAGGAAUAUUGCGCAAUGGAGGCAACUCUGACGCAGCCAUGCCGCGUGCAGGAAGAAGGCGCUACGCGUUGUAAACUGCUUUUAACCGGGAAGAAACCCCAGGACGUGUCCUGGGUUGACGGUACCGGAGGAAUAAGCACCGGCUAACUUCGUGCCAGCAGCCGCGGUAAUACGAAGGGUGCAAGCGUUAUCCGGAUUCAUUGGGUUUAAAGGGUGCGUAGGCGGAGCGUUAAGUCAGUGGUGAAAUCCUGCAGCUUAACUGUAGACUUGCCAUUGAUACUGGCGCUCUUGAGUGCGCUUAAAGUGGGCGGAAUGUGCCGUGUAGCGGUGAAAUGCUUAGAUAUGGCACAGAACACCAAUUGCGAAGGCAGCUCACUAAGGCGAUACUGACGCUGAGGCACGAAAGCGUGGGGAUCGAACAGGAUUAGAUACCCUUGUAGUCC